RNAcentral lists this long non-coding RNA (1910 nucleotides) under Heterocephalus glaber (naked mole-rat). Its description in RNAcentral is "lncRNA (ENSHGLG00100041299.1)". The record is from RNAcentral. Lineage: Eukaryota; Metazoa; Chordata; Mammalia; Rodentia; Bathyergidae.
GGCAUUUCCACAGUGCAGCCAAUCCCUGAGCUACAGGCAUGUGGGGUCAGGCGGGCUGUUCAUUCCGGAAGGGCGGCUGAGACCCUGGGAACCGGACCAGCCCAGCUCACAAGUACACAAGUAUGAAGAGAAUGUUGGGAGAGGAAGUGGCCGCUCUGAGUCAGCAUGAGUCAUCCCGUCCCAAUGAGAGUGUAGGCUGAGGUGUGUGCGCCUUUUUUUUUUUUUUGGGUCUUAAUCAUGUGGACAUCAUUGGGAAUGGGGGGAACUAAGUGACUGUAUGGUGGCUGCUUUGUAAGUUUCAAAGCAACAACAGCAGCUGUGCCUGAGCCCGUGCAUGCCUUGGGGCCAGUCACAGCACAGUUCCUGAGAAGGUGGAGCCCUCAGCUUCUCCCUGGUGAGUAUGUUUCUGACGUUUUCCCAUGAAAGCUGCAUGUGUGGCAGGGUCUGGCUAUGUCAAAGCUGUUGCUUCCUGGAGUGGACACUGCGUUUUGUUUUGUUCAGACUUUGCAGAUCUGUAAUUUUAGCCAAGUGGCUCCCUUUGCCCUCACCCCCAUAGUGACUGUUUAAGCCCGGCUCUCUGGGGAGCUGCCUGGCCGUGCACUGGGAAGUGUGGGUGCUCUCUGUACUGUAUGCUGUCUUGGAACAGAUGGCAGAGAUAGCUGUGCUUGUCUGGAAAAUGAGCUGCCAAGGACUCCUUUCCAGAAGCCACCGGUGAAGCUUGGAGACAGAGAAUAACUGGGAGAUGAAACAGGAAGCUCUGUGACACACUUGAUCGAAAAUGACACAGAUCGAAAAAUCAGGAUUUGACCCCCACCUCCAGCACCUUUACCUGCUGCCAGCAGAUCACAGCUGGAAAGCAGGCGAAGGGUUUGCCCUGGGACCAAAUUCUAACCACCAUGGAUUCUUGAGGGCCUCUGCACUCACUGGUGAUGUGUCUGCGAUAUUUUGGUCACUGUCAACUCUGGUCAGUUUCCUAUUUAUCUGGUCAGUGUCUUGUGUCUUACUCCUUUCUCCUUCAUUAAAAGCAAAACUAAAGAAAACUGAAUUGUUUGUUUAUUAGCUACAUUUGAACACUAAUUUAAGGGAACAGUGUUUGAGAUGAAUUUCUCCAAGGCCACAAAUAAAAAUCUUAUCAUAACCACACGGAUCAUCAUGACAUCGUUAUAUUGUGUUGAACUUGAAUCUUUUAUUACUCAGCCAUGUUUGUCCUACUUCUUAUAUCUCUUUAGAUCUCCCUUGAGUCAGUAUGAGCAAGUUGACAUUUGAGAAGAGCAUUGGGAUUCGUCUGAAAGUCUCUUUCCACACCCACCCUGAUCGAGGACUGUAGCUGUGAACCCAAGAUUACUCCCAACCUUGAGCUUUACACUGGAGAGACCUCAGAUUUCUUUGCUCCCUCUCGUACUCCACAGAUCCAUCACCUCUUUGCUUAUUCAUUCCAUAUAGAUUUCUCUGGGACCCACUGUGUAGCAGGUUCUGGAGAUAAAGUAGUGGACAGGAUCAGCUCUGUCCACUUUCUGGGCAUUUCUAGCCUCCUUAUGAGCGGGCUUUGUUCAGUAAGUGUCAAGGAUUGCUGUGUGCAGCUUGUCACGGGCAUUGUAUUGAGAUGCACUGAUUCCCUGGAUCCACCCACUCUUCAAACCUGAGACACUGGGUUUGGCACUUGGAUAUUCUUUGAAAUGAUUGAUUUCUUCUGCAGAGUCCCUCUGUUCACCAUAGUCACAAGCAGGACAGUGUGACCUUCCUGGGGACAGGCCAAAGAGGCCAUUGGUAGCCACCUCCCAGUUCUUUUUUUUUUUCCAGUACCUGGGAUCGAACUCAGGACCUUGAGCUUGCGAGGCAGGCAGGAGCAUGACUGAGCUAAAUCCCCAGCCCCUCCCGUGCUUUUUGCCCAUCUUCACUUUUAAAUGUCC